Molecule: ribosomal RNA, 376 nt
Filed under: uncultured organism
Description: partial 16S ribosomal RNA
Rfam family: Bacterial small subunit ribosomal RNA
Source: RNAcentral
GUAGGUGGCAAGCGUUGUCCGGAAUUAUUGGGGCGUAAAGCGCGCGCAGGCGGUUCGUUUAAGUCUGAUGUGAAAGCCCACGGGCUCAAUCGUGGAGGGUCAUUGGAAACUGGAGAACUUGAGUACAGAAGAGGAAAGCGGAAUUCCACGUGUAGCGGUGAAAUGCGUAGAGAUGUGGAGGAACACCAGUGGCGAAGGCGGCUUUCUGGUCUGUAACUGACGCUGAGGCGCGAAAGCGUGGGGAGCAAACAGGAUUAGAUACCCUGGUAGUCCACGCCGUAAACGAUGAGUGCUAAGUGUUAGGGGGUUUCCGCCCCUUAGUGCUGCAGCUAACGCAUUAAGCACUCCGCCUGGGGAGUACGGCCGCAAAGGCUGA